This 524-nucleotide unclassified non-coding RNA is filed under the name Hevea brasiliensis (rubber tree). The record is from RNAcentral. Lineage: Eukaryota; Viridiplantae; Streptophyta; Magnoliopsida; Malpighiales; Euphorbiaceae.
AAUACCAAGAGGAGAAGAAAGUGAUCAUUCGAAGGUGAAAAAUCACCAAAUUGUAUCGAUAAUUCUCAAAUUCGAAAGAGUUUAUCGCCAGAUCUAGAUCCAUGGGGAACACAGAGAAAUUGAUGAACCAGAUCAUGGAGCUCAAGUUUACAUCAAAGAGUCUUCAACGCCAAGCCCGGAAAUGUGAAAAAGACGAAAAAUCCGAGAAGCUUAAGGUGAAAAAAGCGAUCGAGAAAGGGAAUAUGGACGGCGCUAGGAUUUACGCCGAGAAUGCAAUCCGCAAGCGCAGCGAGCAGAUGAAUUAUCUCCGUUUGUCCUCGCGUCUCGACGCCGUUGUGGCUCGACUCGAUACUCAGGCAAAAAUGAGCACAAUCAGCAAGUCUAUGGGUAAUAUCGUCAAAUCACUAGAGUCCUCUCUCAAUACCGGUAAUCUCCAGAAGAUGUCCGAGACGAUGGACCAGUUCGAGCGCCAGUUUGUUAAUAUGGAAGUUCAAGCUGAGUUUAUGGAGAGUUCUAUGGCUGGA